GACGAACGCUGGCGGCGUGCUUAACACAUGCAAGUCGAACGGAGAACUUAGCAAUAAGUUCUUAGUGGCGAACGGGUGAGUAACGCGUAGACAACCUGCCUUCUAGAUGGGGACAACGUUCCGAAAGGGACGCUAAUACCGAAUGUCCUAUUGAAUCUGCAUGGAUUUGAUAGCAAAGGUGGCCUCUAUUUAUAAGCUACCGCUAGAAGAUGGGGUCUGCGUCUGAUUAGCUAGUUGGUGAGGUAAUGGCUCACCAAGGCGACGAUCAGUAGCCGGUCUGAGAGGAUGAACGGCCACACUGGGACUGAGACACGGCCCAGACUCCUACGGGAGGCAG
RNAcentral lists this ribosomal RNA (337 nucleotides) under uncultured Bacillota bacterium. RNAcentral's name for it is "bacterial SSU rRNA". It matches the Rfam family "Bacterial small subunit ribosomal RNA", at positions 28 to 351 of the family's 1533-position model. Lineage: Bacteria; Bacillati; Bacillota. The record is from RNAcentral.